GGUGAUGUGUCUGAGCGGCCGAAAGAGCUCGCCUCGAAAGCGAGAGUGGGGUCAAACCCACCGGGGGUUCAAAUCCCUCCAUCACCG
This 87-nucleotide transfer RNA is filed under the name Tessaracoccus palaemonis. RNAcentral describes it as "Tessaracoccus sp. J1M15 tRNA-Ser". It matches the Rfam family "tRNA". From Rfam's summary of the family: Transfer RNA (tRNA) molecules are approximately 80 nucleotides in length. Their secondary structure includes four short double-helical elements and three loops (D, anti-codon, and T loops). Lineage: Bacteria; Bacillati; Actinomycetota; Actinomycetes; Propionibacteriales; Propionibacteriaceae. RNAcentral also lists the same sequence under 1 other name. The record is from RNAcentral.